GGUGUAUUAGUUUAAUGGUAAAACUCCCGACUGUCUAUCGGAAAUCAAGGGUUCGAUUCCCUUAUACACCGCCA
Molecule: transfer RNA, 74 nt
Filed under: Caudoviricetes sp.
Lineage: Duplodnaviria; Heunggongvirae; Uroviricota; Caudoviricetes
Description: tRNA-Asp
Rfam family: tRNA
About the family: Transfer RNA (tRNA) molecules are approximately 80 nucleotides in length.
Source: RNAcentral